UUCUGCCCUAUCAACUUUCGAUGUUAGGGUAUUGGCCAACCAUGGUUUCAACGGGUAACGGAGGGUUAGGGUUCGACUCCGGAGAAGGAGCCUGAGAAACGGCUACUACAUCCAAGGAAGGCAGCAGGCGCGCAAAUUACCCAAUCCCGACUCGGGGAGGUAGUGACAAUAAAUACUGAUACAGGGCUCUUUUGGGUCUUGUAAUUGGAAUGAGUACAAUUAAUCCCUAACGAGAACAAUAGAUGUA
Molecule: ribosomal RNA, 247 nt
Filed under: uncultured eukaryote
Lineage: Eukaryota
Description: partial 18S ribosomal RNA
Rfam family: Eukaryotic small subunit ribosomal RNA
Source: RNAcentral